This is a long non-coding RNA of Rattus rattus (black rat), 594 nucleotides long. RefSeq lists it as uncharacterized. The transcript has 3 exons. NCBI's taxonomy places the organism in Eukaryota, Metazoa, Chordata, Mammalia, Rodentia, Muridae. The record is from RefSeq and is a predicted model, not a curated record.
GCUGCCUGACAGUCUGGAACAUCCAGACUACCCUUGUGGCACAGGCCUGUAAUCACAUGUGGAAGCUGAAGCAAGAGGAUCACAAGUGAUUCAUCCUGAAAUUCUCUGUGUGUUUUAAGAGCCAGGAUAUUCCUGAAUGAGUUCUCAGUAGCGCAUCUCCAGGCUGCCAAGGAAGACUGAUCACAUUCCUGAGAACUGACUUUCUGCAAAGCCUCCCAGAGAGCCCAAAUUUAGGACACUUGAAGUAAGAGAAGAUGCCUUCUCUGUUAUGCCUGUAAACAUAAGAAACGCUUUACAAAGUUCUGGAAAGAAGAGAAAGCAGCUUUCCGUUAGAGCGACAGCUCCAGGUAGGAGAUUGUUGCCACGUGUUGAUUUCAGGUGUCAAAGAGUGCACAUGAGCAAAACUCAAGCAUUUCAGUGCUUCCAGUGGAUGGUACUUAGAAAUCCUCCGAAAGCUGAGUGUCCCUUGGGUUUUGAACGAAGAAGACAGCAGGCUGUCUGUGUGUUUCUGGUGUGACUGGCUCACAGAGUUUUCCACCAUGUUUGUGCCACCAGCAAGAUUUCCGCACAACAAGCGGGAGUAGCCAACGGAUC